This 213-nucleotide ribosomal RNA is filed under the name Triticum aestivum (bread wheat). RNAcentral describes it as "partial small subunit ribosomal RNA". The record is from RNAcentral. Lineage: Eukaryota; Viridiplantae; Streptophyta; Magnoliopsida; Poales; Poaceae.
AUGUGUAAGGCCAAGCGAGAGGGGGGGAUGGGCUUUAGGGACCUCGAAGCUUUCAACCAAGCUUUACUAGCAAAACAGGCUUGGCGUAUCCUAUUGCUUCCAUCUUCUUUAUGUGCUAGGGUGCUCAAGGCCAGGUACUUUCCGGAUGGGUCGAUCAUGAACGCCACUUGCCCAAAUGGGGGCUCAUUCACCUUUAGGAGCAUCAUACAUGGU